CAGACAUAUGAUGUCGUAACUGUCGGAGCACCGGCCUCUCACUGCCAGGGUUUCUAAAAAUGGCGUUCUGAGGAAGCUCAUCCAGAAGUUUGAGGAAGCAAAGAAACACGUAAAUGAGGAGGAAUGUAGUGCCCUCUCCAGCUCAGUCAUCAUCCACAUACCCCAGGACACUGUCCGAGCCAAAGAGAUCAUCGCCCACGUCAACACGCAGAAGACUCAGACCCGUCAGCUGGUGACAGUGUGCGGCUGCAAGCUGCUAGCUUCAGCUAUUUAGGCCCUGAACGCAGUACGGGGCGAGUACAUCGCAACCAAAGCUUCUCCUUCCGCUGAGUCUGAACAAGUAGUGCUCCGCAAUGACCAGGAUACGCUGAGAGCAAAGUACAGCGGUCACAACAGCCAGUCGUCACUGCACGUGGACUGGCACGAAGAGGAGUGGGCCACGCCCACAGACUACAGAGCCACGAUGAGCAACAAAGCCAAGAAGUCUAUGGACUUCCUGCUGAUGCAGGACACCGCCCCGACGAUAGCCACGGACGUGUCACUGCAGUACCGCCUCGACAUCGUCUUCUGCCAAACGGUCACCUACACAUAUUUUAAUUAUUGAAUGUCUGAGCUGAUGCGUUUAUCCUGCAGUGACUCAGAGUGAAGGAGAAGGCCAAGAAGAAGUGUAAAUAUCAUAAAAGCAAGGAGUUCAGAGCUCUACGACUUAGUGUCUUUAUGGUAUUUAUGUGUGUAAUGGAGACCAGGGGUUCCAUUACCCUUACUUGUAUUUUUAUUAAUUGACUGACUGAUUUGUAUUUAAAAACCAUAAUGAAGAAAAACACACACUGGUUGAUUGUGAUCUUUAUUAGGUUUUUUGGGUUGUUAUUUAAGUGACUCGUGAAAGGUGAAGAGACAGGGGGACUGGCCAUCCUACCUGUGUCAGGAAAAGAACCCGUGUUAGAGCUGUUCACAUUUAAACAUUUGUCUGUAACCUAAAUUAGUUGUAUAUGUAAAAAGAGAAGUGUUAACAGUACUCACUUUGUAAAGAGUAAAAGCAGCUCAAUCACCUGCUUAUGAGCUCCUGGAGCAAACCAAUGUGCCAGGCUAGGGGAGUGUGUGUUGGAGUGAUUUUGUUAAAAGUUGUCAUUAUUGUGCUUGGACCUUGUCUUGAACUGUAUGUUCAGAUAUUUUUCUGUUCCUCCCCCACAUGUAGGAUGUUGGGGAUGUUACUAGCUAUAGUUUUCAACUGCAGGCACAAUCUAUGUAAGAUUCUGGUUUCCUUAUUUGGUAAGGAAUGUUCACUUCCUGCCCUUUACAGUAUGGGCUCACCAUGUAAAUGGUGGACUGUUAAAGAGGUUAAGCCAUAUACGAGGUUGAGGGGAGAUGCCCUUUUAUGACUAGAGAUGCGGUUAAAACGUUUGUAACCAGGAAGUCACGUAUACACACACACACACACACACACACACACACACAGUGCCUUAGCUUUUACCACACAACAUAUGGGGUUUACAAUGGGCGGUUGUGUAACUGUUUUCAUUCAAUAAAAGGCUGGAGUUGGA
Molecule: non-coding RNA, 1541 nt
Organism: Maylandia zebra (zebra mbuna)
Lineage: Eukaryota; Metazoa; Chordata; Actinopteri; Cichliformes; Cichlidae
Source: RefSeq, a predicted model, not a curated record